Long non-coding RNA from Branchiostoma floridae (Florida lancelet), 1712 nucleotides. RefSeq lists it as uncharacterized. The transcript has 2 exons. The record is from RefSeq and is a predicted model, not a curated record. NCBI's taxonomy places the organism in Eukaryota, Metazoa, Chordata, Leptocardii, Amphioxiformes, Branchiostomatidae.
CGUGACCCAGUUUUCAGCGCUGCGUCCUGCACUUCCGGGUUCAACCCGCGCGCCAGGCUAAAAUGUAACUAUUUCUUUGAUUCGUCGGCGCCUCGCGGUAAAUUCAAAUAGAGCCAAUCAAAGGUUUCCUUAUAAAGCCAACAGUACUGGCUACGUCAUAUCCCGCCCGCUCUGAACAGCUGCGGGAGUCUCUUUUCAAAAGCGAAGUUGACGAGAAUACAUCGACGUAUUUUCGCUGUAUUUUUGACAUCUCUUAAUUUUCGGAAAAGCGGGUUUUACAGUCGAUAAAUAACAUAUGAAGGGACAUACUGACGGAGUUUUAUGAAUUUCCGUGCAAAAAUGUUUGCGUGCCGCCGUCCGAAAGACCGCGGAAAACUCUACGGUGACCCAAUUCAUAGCUCCCGGCCGACCCUCCCCCUCACGGACGGUGAUUCAACGCAGACAUUUUCGGUAUAUGUUGCUGGAAUCUACCCAAAGGACUACAGCUAAGCUGACCUUUUAGAGCAGCAAUAUUCCAGUGUCAAGUUCCAAGAUAAAGGAGAAGUCAUUCAUGCAAGAAACAUUGAAUCGUGACUCAAACAAAACAACUUCAUGACAGACACAGCAUCUUGCUCUGUUGGCUACAUGAGUUUGGAGGAUUGGAAACAAUUUGCUGCACCGCAAAAGUUUUGGUUCAAAAUGCAAAUUGGUGGUCGCACUGAGUACUGUACAGCAAAUUAGUGAAGAACUACAAUACACGACGAAACAGCAUGGUAAGGUGAAAGCAUGAUAAUCCAGCCACCUGGCUGGUAGGACAAGAGAAAUUUGUCAAAGUUUGUGCUAUGUAUACUGCCAGGAAAGGACAGAGGAAUGAAAACACUGUGGAGAACCUUUGAAAGAAGGACAACUAAGAGAAAUCUACAAAGAAGAGGAAUCAUGAAAGAAAGAAGAAAGGACAAGCAUGUGAUUGUGAUGAAAGAAGGACAAGAAAAGACAGCUUGUUUAGACAUUAUAAAAAAGCGAACUCGUCACAAACCAUCGCAAAGUACCAGACAUGACAGGCCUGGAACUGGAAUUUCAGCUUUGGGCUGAACUACCCCGAUUGGGGAUGAACAUCAUUGACUCUGGCAGAAUUUAUUGUCUCAGCAAACAAAAUGUAAAAGAAAACAAAAAAACAUGAUGAUGUUGAGGACUACUUACCUCUUGCUUCUGUAGCAUAUAAUGAAGACGACAUUCUUCUCACGGCCCUUAGGAGAAACGAUGCUGACGCUGACAUUCCACUGUCAGCUUUUCAUUUUAUUUAUUGCAUAUAGGGUUAUAAAAUGCAUAGUUGAUUAUGCAGUACUCGAUAGAUAUGAAGUUUUGUACUGUUUCUCUACUAUUCUGAUCCCAGCCACACUUUAAAUUGUGAAUGUAAGAGCUGAGAUGUUGUUUUCCUUUGUCAAGGGGGAGGGGGGCACCAUGUACAAUAUGCAUAUGUAAUGACUUAUUAAGGUAAUGAAACGCAUAGUUAAUUAUGCUGUACUUGUUCAACUUGUGACUUUGUACUGAUCUCCACCAUUCUGAUUCCAGCCACCCUUCAAACUGUGAGUGUAAUUUAUAUAAGGGCUGAGAUGUUGUUUUCCUAUGCCAAGGGGGAGGGUGGCACCAUGUACAAUAUGCAUAUGUAAUGAUUUAUGAAGGUCAUGAAAUGCAUACAGUUGAAGAUAGGAAUAAAUAGAGUUGACAGCUUA